This 433-nucleotide ribosomal RNA is filed under the name uncultured bacterium. RNAcentral's name for it is "bacterial SSU rRNA". It matches the Rfam family "Bacterial small subunit ribosomal RNA", at positions 328 to 779 of the family's 1533-position model. The record is from RNAcentral.
UCACCAGACUCCUACGGGAGGCAGCAGUGGGGGAUAUUGCACAAUGGGGGGAACCCUGAUGCAGCGACGCCGCGUGGGUGAAGAAGCGCCUCGGCGCGUAGAGCCCUGUCAGCAGGGAAGAAAAUGACGGUACCUGAAGAAGAAGCCCCGGCUAACUACGUGCCAGCAGCCGCGGUAAUACGUAGGUGGCGAGCGUUGUCCGGAAUUACUGGGUGUAAAGGGAGCGUAGGCGGGAGAGCAAGUCGACUGUGAAAUCUAUGGGCUUAACCCAGAGCUGCGAUCGAAACUGUUCAUCUUGAGUGAAGUAGAGGCAGGCGGAAUUCCUAGUGUAGCGGUGAAAUGCGUAAAUAUUAGGAGGAACACCAGUGGCGAAGGCGGCCUGCUGGGCUUUAACUGACGCUGAGGCUCGAAAGCGUGGGUAGCAAACAGGAUU